RNAcentral lists this ribosomal RNA (1440 nucleotides) under uncultured organism. Its description in RNAcentral is "SSU rRNA". It matches the Rfam family "Bacterial small subunit ribosomal RNA". The record is from RNAcentral.
GCUACAGGCUUAACACAUGCAAGUCGAGGGGCAUCAGGAAGAAAGCUUGCUUUCUUUGCUGGCGACCGGCGCACGGGUGAGUAACACGUAUCCAACCUGCCCUUUACUCGGGGAUAGCCUUUCGAAAGAAAGAUUAAUACCCGAUGGCAUAAUGAUUCCGCAUGGUUUCAUUAUUAAAGGAUUCCGGUAAAGGAUGGGGAUGCGUUCCAUUAGGUUGUUGGUGAGGUAACGGCUCACCAAGCCUUCGAUGGAUAGGGGUUCUGAGAGGAAGGUCCCCCACAUUGGAACUGAGACACGGUCCAAACUCCUACGGGAGGCAGCAGUGAGGAAUAUUGGUCAAUGGGCGCUAGCCUGAACCAGCCAAGUAGCGUGAAGGAUGAAGGCUCUAUGGGUCGUAAACUUCUUUUAUAUAAGAAUAAAGUGCAGUAUGUAUACUGUUUUGUAUGUAUUAUAUGAAUAAGGAUCGGCUAACUCCGUGCCAGCAGCCGCGGUAAUACGGAGGAUCCGAGCGUUAUCCGGAUUUAUUGGGUUUAAAGGGAGCGUAGGUGGACUGGUAAGUCAGUUGUGAAAGUUUGCGGCUCAACCGUAAAAUUGCAGUUGAUACUGUCAGUCUUGAGUACAGUAGAGGUGGGCGGAAUUCGUGGUGUAGCGGUGAAAUGCUUAGAUAUCACGAAGAACUCCGAUUGCGAAGGCAGCUCACUGGACUGCAACUGACACUGAUGCUCGAAAGUGUGGGUAUCAAACAGGAUUAGAUACCCUGGUAGUCCACACAGUAAACGAUGAAUACUCGCUGUUUGCGAUAUACAGUAAGCGGCCAAGCGAAAGCAUUAAGUAUUCCACCUGGGGAGUACGCCGGCAACGGUGAAACUCAAAGGAAUUGACGGGGGCCCGCACAAGCGGAGGAACAUGUGGUUUAAUUCGAUGAUACGCGAGGAACCUUACCCGGGCUUAAAUUGCAGUGGAAUGAUGUGGAAACAUGUCAGUGAGCAAUCACCGCUGUGAAGGUGCUGCAUGGUUGUCGUCAGCUCGUGCCGUGAGGUGUCGGCUUAAGUGCCAUAACGAGCGCAACCCUUAUCUUUAGUUACUAACAGGUUAUGCUGAGGACUCUAGAGAGACUGCCGUCGUAAGAUGUGAGGAAGGUGGGGAUGACGUCAAAUCAGCACGGCCCUUACGUCCGGGGCUACACAUGUGUUACAAUGGGGGGUACAGAAGGCAGCUAGCGGGUGACCGUAUGCUAAUCCCAAAAGCCUCUCUCAGUUCGGAUCGAAGUCUGCAACCCGACUUCGUGAAGCUGGAUUCGCUAGUAAUCGCGCAUCAGCCACGGCGCGGUGAAUACGUUCCCGGGCCUUGUACACACCGCCCGUCAAGCCAUGGGAGCCGGGGGUACCUGAAGUACGUAACCGCAAGGAUCGUCCUAGGGUAAAACUGGUGACUGGGGCU